AGUCGAGGGGUAUUGGUUUUCGGACCAGAGACCGGCGCACGGGUGCGUAACGCGUAUGUAAUCUACCUUUUACAGAGGGAUAGCCCAGAGAAAUUUGGAUUAAUACCUCAUAGUAUUAUUGAAUGGCAUCAUUUAAUAAUUAAAGUCACAACGGUAAAAGAUGAGCAUGCGUCCCAUUAGCUUGUUGGUAAGGUAACGGCUUACCAAGGCAACGAUGGGUAGGGGUCCUGAGAGGGAGAUCCCCCACACUGGUACUGAGACACGGACCAGACUCCUACGGGAGGCAGCAGUGAGGAAUAUUGGUCAAUGGGCGCAAGCCUGAACCAGCCAUGCCGCGUGCAGGAUGACGGUCCUAUGGAUUGUAAACUGCUUUUGUACAGGAAGAAACAGUUCUACGUGUAGAAUCUUGACGGUACUGUAAGAAUAAGGAUCGGCUAACUCCGUGCCAGCAGCCGCGGUAAUACGGAGGAUCCAAGCGUUAUCCGGAAUCAUUGGGUUUAAAGGGUCCGUAGGCGGUUUUGUAAGUCAGUGGUGAAAGCCCAUCGCUCAACGGUGGAACGGCCAUUGAUACUGCAAGACUUGAAUUAUUAGGAAGUAACUAGAAUAUGUAGUGUAGCGGUGAAAUGCUUAGAGAUUACAUGGAAUACCAAUUGCGAAGGCAGGUUACUACUAAUUGAUUGACGCUGAUGGACGAAAGCGUGGGGAGCGAACAGGAUUAGAUACCCUGGUAGUCCACGCCGUAAACGAUGGAUACUAGCUGUUCGG
Molecule: ribosomal RNA, 765 nt
Filed under: uncultured Bacteroidota bacterium
Lineage: Bacteria; Pseudomonadati; Bacteroidota
Description: bacterial SSU rRNA
Rfam family: Bacterial small subunit ribosomal RNA
Source: RNAcentral